Molecule: ribosomal RNA, 484 nt
Filed under: uncultured bacterium
Lineage: Bacteria
Description: partial 16S ribosomal RNA
Rfam family: Bacterial small subunit ribosomal RNA
Source: RNAcentral
AUUGAACGCUGGCGGCAGGCCUAACACAUGCAAGUCGAGCGGAUGAAGGGAGCUUGCUCCUGGAUUCAGCGGCGGACGGGUGAGUAAUGCCUAGGAAUCUGCCUGGUAGUGGGGGAUAACGUCCGGAAACGGGCGCUAAUACCGCAUACGUCCUGAGGGAGAAAGUGGGGGAUCUUCGGACCUCACGCUAUCAGAUGAGCCUAGGUCGGAUUAGCUAGUUGGUGGGGUAAAGGCCUACCAAGGCGACGAUCCGUAACUGGUCUGAGAGGAUGAUCAGUCACACUGGAACGGAGACACGGUCCAGACUCCUACGGGAGGCAGCAGUGGGGAAUAUUGGACAAUGGGCGAAAGCCUGAUCCAGACAUGCCGCGUGUGUGAAGAAGGUCUUCGGAUUGUAAAGCACGUUAAGUUGGGAGGAAGGGCAGUAAGUUAAUACCUUGCUGUUUUGACGUUACCAACAGAAUAAGCACCGGCUAACUUCGUG